AUGGCUGUCGUCAGCUCGUGCUGUGAAGUGUCGGGUUAAGUCCCAUAACGAGCGCAACCCCUAUUUCUAGUUGCCAGCGGUUCGGCCGGGGACUCUAGAGAAACUGCCAGCGUAAGCUGUGAGGAAGGUGGGGACGACGUCAAAUCAUCACGGCCCUUACGUCCUGGGCCACACACGUGCUACAAUGGUGGGGACAACGAGUUGCCAACCCGCAAGGGUGAGCUAAUCUCUCAAACCCCAUCUCAGUUCGGAUCGGAGUCUGCAACUCGACUCCGUGAAGUUGGAAUCGCUAGUAAUCGCGCAUCAGCCAUGGCGCGGUGAAUACGUUCCCGGGCCUUGUACACACCGCCCGUCAAGCCAUGGAAUCUGGGGGCGCCUGAAGUCAGUAACCGCAAGGAGCUGCCUAGGGCGAAUCUGGUAACUAGGGCUAAGUCGUAACAAGGUAGCCGUACCGGAAGGUGCGGCUGGAUUAACUCCUUUUUAGAGAAAAACGACUCUCAAAACAUAUACGUUGGUUUUAUUGGGCUGCUGCAUCAUUCUUCUUUUUCCGUCCUUGUCUAGUCCUGUAGCUCAGUUGGUUAGAGCACUACACUGAUAAUGUAGGGGUCAGCAGUUCAAAUCUGCUCAGGACUACGGUAAAGAUGGGGGAUUAGCUCAGCUGGCUAGAGCGCCUGCCUUGCACGCAGGAGGUCAUCGGUUCGACUCCGAUAUUCUCCACUAAAAAAGAAGUUCUUUGACGUACUGGUAGAAGAUAGAGUAAAUUAUAAGCAACAAAGGGCAGUUGGCGGAUGCCUAGGCUCUCAAUAGCGAUGAAGGACGUGAUAAGCUGCGAUAAGCCAUACUGAGAUGCAAAUAAUCGUUUAAGUAUGGAUUUCCGAAUGGGGAAACCCGG
Molecule: small RNA, 892 nt
Filed under: uncultured bacterium
Lineage: Bacteria
Description: bacterial SSU rRNA
Rfam family: Bacterial small subunit ribosomal RNA (bases 1-480)
Source: RNAcentral